RNAcentral lists this ribosomal RNA (468 nucleotides) under uncultured bacterium. RNAcentral describes it as "partial 16S ribosomal RNA". It matches the Rfam family "Bacterial small subunit ribosomal RNA", at positions 28 to 507 of the family's 1533-position model. The record is from RNAcentral.
GACGAACGCUGGCGGCGUGCUUAACACAUGCAAGUCGAACGGAAAGGCCCUGCUUUUGUGGGGUGCUCGAGUGGCGAACGGGUGAGUAACACGUGAGUAACCUGCCCUUGUCUUUGUGAUAACUUCAGGAAACUGGGGCUAUUACCGGAUAGGAGCUCCUGCUGCAUGGUGGGGGUUGGUAAGUUUCGGCGGUUGUGGAUGGACUAGCGGCUUAUGAGCUUGUUGGUGGGGUAGUGGCUUACCAAGGCUUUGACGGGUAGCCGGCCUGAGAGGGUGACCGGCCUCAUUGGGACUGAGAUACGGACCAGACUCCUACGGGAGGCAGCAGUCGGGAAUAUUGCACAAUGGGCGGACGCCUGAUGCAGCAACGUCGCGUGCGUGAUGACGGCCUUCGGGUUGUAAACAGCUUUCGACUGUGACGAAGAGUGAGUGACGGUAAUUGGUCAAGAAGCACCGGCUAACUACGUG